This is a non-coding RNA of Macaca mulatta (Rhesus monkey), 3960 nucleotides long. The record is from RefSeq and is a predicted model, not a curated record. Lineage: Eukaryota; Metazoa; Chordata; Mammalia; Primates; Cercopithecidae.
GCAGUUCACAACAAAAAUCGAGCAACGCCACGUCGCACAAACAGGACAGGAGGGGCGAGGGUGUGUGCGCGCGCGUGCUGUCCCCAAAUGGAUGAGAAAUAAGGGAAGGGGGGCUGGGGAGCGUGUGAUGAAGUAACACUGCUAGGCCCGCGACUAGUCGGGCCCCGGCCUCGGGUCUGCAGGGACAAGGUUGGGGGCCGGGUGGCAGACGCGGCUUCUGGUCUUCCCCCAGCGCGAGGGUCGUGGCGGGAAGCGGGGACGCGGCGCGCGCUCGGAGCCUUCUCCCCGCCCCGCCCCGCCCAAGGGUCUUCCUCCCCCAGAAUUCGGAGCGGCCCCUCCUCCAAGCCAGGCUCGCCGCGGGGCGCUGAGCAGGCCGGGACACCGCGGCCGAGGUUAUCGUUAGGCAUCUCCCAGGCGACCGGCUCCGCAGCAAGAUGGCGGACGAGAAAGACAGGGAAGGGCCUGGGGAUACGACAGUGAUGAGAUGAGGCCUCUGACUUUACUGAUCGAACAUCUAAUGGAAGGUGGAAGAAGAGACCAUCACACAAUUACGGUGUUACGGGGAACAUAGGAGAUAAUAGUAGCAGAAUUUCACAAAAAAAUCAAGGAAGCAUUUGAAGUGUUUGACCAUGAGUCGAAUAAUACAGUGGAUGUGAGAGAGAUUGGAACAAUUAUCAGGUCAUUAGGAUGCUGCCCUACUGAAGGAGAGCUGCAUGAUCUGAUUGCAGAGGUAGAAGAAGAAGAACCCACUGGAUACAUUCGAUUCGAAAAAUUUCUUCCGGUGAUGACAGAAAUACUACUAGAAAGGAGAUACAGACCAAUUCCAGAAGAUGUCCUUCUUCGAGCUUUUGAGGUUUUAGAUUCAGCUAAACGUGGGUUUCUUACUAAGGAUGAACUGAUCAAGUAUAUGACUGAAGAAGGUGAGCCUUUUUCUCAAGAGGAAAUGGAAGAAAUGUUGUCUGCUGCAAUUGAUCCAGAAUCAAAUUCAAUUCAUUACAAGGACUAUAUAACAAUGAUGGUGAUAGAUGAAAAUUAAAUGUUCUAAAGAUAAUUUCUAAUUGAAAGGACAAUGUUAGAAAUUGCUUCUCCAUGUUAAUUUCACAUCUGAGAUAAGAGAAUCUAAGGAAUCUUAGGAUUCCUAUAUGUGAUAUUUAAUACCUUGUGACGUAACUAUUUCUAUUUUGAGAUACUUUGUUUUUAAAGAUGAUCAUAACACUUUAAAACAAAUUUAGUAUGUCUAGUCUUAGAGAAUGAUAAAUUACUCUUUAUUUAAAAACUAUUCUUAAAACAUUUUAACAUUAGAAUUGAUUAUUAUAUUCUGUAAUAAAACUCAGGUAACCUUCAAAUUAAGUAAGCUGACAAAAUGAAAAUGACUGUAAUGACCCAAGGUUUGACAUAUAAAGAUCUUAAGAGGGGGCAGAAUGACCAGCAAUUGACAAUGAGUAGCAAUAUAAUGAAGGCUUCCUUUUUCAACAAUAACAAAUGCUUCAUCAAUCUGAGUGUGGAAGGAGAUUUAUCAAAAUAAAUAUUAAUUGAUUUUUUAUGAGUGCCAAUUACGAAUGUCAUUUGGGAUUGUAAUAACUGAGUGUAAACAUUUAUAUUUGCUGAUCCAGCAUGUCACCAUUUAUGGAGUAGCUAAAGGAGUUGAGAUCAUUGAAACUAGAGAAAAGAAGGCUGAGUGGAAAUUCAUAGUGUAAGGUAGUGGCAAUUCUCUCUUUGUCUUUAGAAUUGUCACCUACUCGGUAUAUCUGUCAUGGGAAUAUUGUCCUGAAUACUGAGUAAGAAUACUGAGAAAUGUUUUGGUGUGCAAAUGUGCAGCUCCUGAAAGAGCAGAAUGAAGGACGCCUCUGAGCACAAGCAGUCACAAUGGAAAAAUAGUCACUAUAUGGCAACUUACAAGCAAAGGGGAAGAUAAGGUAAAGGAGAAUGAACACUUUUCCCAACUUAGAUAUUCUUUUAUAACAAUACACACACACACACACACACACACGGAUCUCUAUUUAAAGAUGGCUUUACCACCGUAUGUGUGUAUCUACAUAGAUGGAAACGUUUCAUGUUGCUGGGAGCCUUCCUCAGGCAUGCUGUCUUGCCUCCGAAAGAUGCAGCUGCUACCCAAGAGACUGUCACUGUUCAUUCAUUCAUGAAACAUUGAAUGAGUAUCAUGAGAUAAUGUGCUAGGAACCAGAGUCCCUAACGAAUCCAGGUCCCAGUUUAGUGAAGGAAGCCUGCAAGUCCAUCAGCAGCCACAUUUCAGACAGGGGCACGUUCAGGGUACCGUGGAAGUACAGCAGAGGGGCAGCUACUUGGCCGUGCAGGGAGGGAGCUUUCUGCGAGAUGAAAGGUGCCAGUGAGCAGAGAACGCUUCCCAGGACAGGAAACACCUGACUUUAAAAUGAGAAGUUUAGUAAGUGGGCAGCGGGGCACAGGGCAUUUCAGCAGGUGAGCGGCAAGUCCAGAAACCCUAGAGGGGUCAUGAAACAUGGAACCACCUGGGAAUUGAAAGCAGCUCAGUAUGUUUGGAAUGUAGGAGAUUUGGGGGUCAUGAUGAGAGGUGAAACUGGAGCGGUAAACAGGAGCUGUAUCAUUAAGAAUAUCGGGUUAGGUGUUGAGUUAAGGUUUCAGCGUGAGAGUUUGGACUUUAUUCUGAAGAUCACAGAGAAAGAUCAUUUGUAAGCAGCAGGGAAAAUAGAUUUGAUAGGUCAAGACUAGAAGUGAGACCCGUUUGUAGGCCAUUUGGUUGGUGGGAGGGGAUAGACUGAGAAAAGUCAAGCAUGAAUCCCAGGUUUCUGGCUCAGACGAUGGGUAAAAGUGCCAUUCAUUCAGAUAAGAAAUCUGAGGAGCAAGUGGGGCAUUGGUAAGCAAAAUGGUGAGGUUGGGUACAGACACCUUUGGAGCUCAGCAUGUAAGCAGCUUGAAAGGAAAAGAAGAGAGUCUAGAACAAAACCAUGGGGAACAUCAGCAUUUACGGGAAGGCAGAGGAAGAGGAGCCCACAAAAGAGACUGGGAAGGAGAAGCCUGAGAAGAGGAAAGCUGGAAAGAAGUAUCUUGGAUGCCAAGAUCAGAGACAAUCGCAAGGAGGGGGCAGUGGCCAUGCCAGAUGUAGUGGAGAGAAGAGGGAAAUUAAAGACGGAAAAAACGUCCGUUGGUGGUAGCAAGGAAGAGUUCUUUGAGGGCCUCUCCCAGAGCAGAUGUGGGGAAGCAACAGGGUAUAGAGUUGAGUGUGGAUUGAGGAAGGAAUGGAUGUGAGAAGGUUGCAGCCUGGAGGACAAGUUACUCAGCAGUGAAGAGAAGGAAACAGACAACAGGCUGGGGGAGUGAUUUUUGGAAGAUGGGCAGAUGUAGCAAGUUCAUUUCUAGUCCGAGGGCUGAGAGCCCGCAGAGAGGGUGAAGGGAGGGGCCGGCUUCCAGAGCAAUACAGAGAUUUAGGAACAGUGAACCAACGCCUGUGGUCCCUACCUCAUGGCCUCUACCGCCUUUUGGAGAGGAAGGUAGUAGGUUACAGAGCUUGAAGAGAAUGGUGUAACUUUAGAAUAUCUCUUGUGGGAAAUGGGAAAAAGAGUUGAGAGAGCCCAUGCAAGGAUUUUCAAGAAACUCUGGAAGAUUUUGUGCUCAGGAGCAAAAAAGAAAAGAAAAAAGGUAGAUUGUUCUACCAGGGUUAAGCUUUGUCAUGUGGGUGAGGUGGAAGGAGCCAAAGGCCGAGGAAUCUGCAAGAACACAGUUCCGAGGGUGUCCGUGGCUAACAUGUUAGGGAAAGACCCAGGCAGGAGGACUGGCUAACAGAUGGGAGGGUUAGAGGACUCGGGGCUCUAAAAGGGCAAGUGGCUGGUGUUGGUAGCAAGGGUGGUCUUUCCUACCAUUCCUGAGUGAUAAUACGUUUCCUUUGAAAUUUGACUUCACUGUGUUCUUAGAGCGUUUCUUUUCUUCUCCUGUGUUAUUAUAUGAAUAAAUAGUAAGAGUGGC